GGUAAUAUAACUUAUAGGUAGAGUGUCAUCUUGAUAAGUUGGAAGUCAUCAGUUCAAGUCUGAUUACCC
This 69-nucleotide transfer RNA is filed under the name Gossypium hirsutum (cotton). It matches the Rfam family "tRNA". From Rfam's summary of the family: Transfer RNA (tRNA) molecules are approximately 80 nucleotides in length. Their secondary structure includes four short double-helical elements and three loops (D, anti-codon, and T loops). Further hydrogen bonds mediate the characteristic L-shaped molecular structure. tRNAs have two regions of fundamental functional importance: the anti-codon, which is responsible for specific mRNA codon recognition, and the 3' end, to which the tRNAs corresponding amino acid is attached (by aminoacyl-tRNA synthetases). tRNAs cope with the degeneracy of the genetic code in two manners: having more than one tRNA (with a specific anti-codon) for a particular amino acid; and 'wobble' base-pairing, i.e. permitting non-standard base-pairing at the 3rd anti-codon position. The record is from Rfam by way of RNAcentral. RNAcentral also lists the same sequence under 1 other name. Lineage: Eukaryota; Viridiplantae; Streptophyta; Magnoliopsida; Malvales; Malvaceae.